This 378-nucleotide ribosomal RNA is filed under the name uncultured organism. RNAcentral's name for it is "partial 16S ribosomal RNA". It matches the Rfam family "Bacterial small subunit ribosomal RNA", at positions 523 to 897 of the family's 1533-position model. The record is from RNAcentral.
CGGGGGGGGGGGCAAGCGUUGUUCGGAAUUACUGGGCGUAAAGGGCGUGUAGGCGGUCCGGCAAGUCCUCCGUGAAAUCCCACAGCUCAACUGUGGAAUUGCGAGGGAAACUGCCGGACUUGAGUCCCGGGAGAGGAGAGUGGAAUUCCCAGUGUAGCGGUGAAAUGCGUAGAUAUUGGGAGGAACACCGGUGGCGAAGGCGGCUCUCUGGACCGGCACUGACGCUGAGGCGCGAAAGCUAGGGGAGCAAACGGGAUUAGAUACCCCGGUAGUCCUAGCCCUAAACGAUGAGCACUUGGUGUGGCGGGUAUCGACCCCUGCCGUGCCGAAGCUAACGCAUUAAGUGCUCCGCCUGGGGAGUACGGUCGCAAAGGCUGA